ACUGUAGUGCAAUGGGUAGCGUGUUGGACUUCUAAUUCAAAGGCCAUGGGUUCGAAUCCCACCUAAAAUG
This 70-nucleotide transfer RNA is filed under the name Trichonephila inaurata madagascariensis. RNAcentral's name for it is "tRNA-Arg". The stretch from base 4 to 63 matches the Rfam family "tRNA", at positions 7 to 64 of the family's 71-position model. Rfam says of the family: Transfer RNA (tRNA) molecules are approximately 80 nucleotides in length. Lineage: Eukaryota; Metazoa; Arthropoda; Arachnida; Araneae; Nephilidae. The record is from RNAcentral.